This 253-nucleotide ribosomal RNA is filed under the name uncultured bacterium. RNAcentral describes it as "partial 16S ribosomal RNA". It matches the Rfam family "Bacterial small subunit ribosomal RNA", at positions 524 to 776 of the family's 1533-position model. The record is from RNAcentral.
UACGGGGGAUGCAAGUGUUAUCCGGAAUAAUUGGGCGUAAAGCGUCUGUAGGUGGUUUACCAAGUCUGUUGUUAAAAAUCAGGGCUCAACCCUGAUCCGGCAACAGAAACUAGUAGACUUGAGUACGGUAGGGGCAGAGGGAAUUCUCGGUGUAGUGGUGAAAUACGUAGAUAUCGAGAAGAACACCAAUAGCGAAAGCACUCUGCUGGGCCGAAACUGACAUUGAGAGACGAAAGCUAGGGGAGCAAAAGGG